CUAGGGGAAAGUUCCCCCAACAAAGUUAGACAAGCCACUUACCUCGAACCGGCUCAAAAAUCAACUAGAAACCACGCCCUUGCCACGAGUAUCAGACUCCAAGUGACCCAAAUCUAUUCAAUUCAAUUACAUAAAGUGAAUAGUACUGCAAACAACUGAUUCCACUAUUAUAUUCAAAACUAGGGCGCGAAAAUAGGUAAAAUGACCAAAGCUCCCCUCAGGCUAACGUCUCGGAAUUAAAUAAUUUUUAUAUUUUCAGAACCCUCGUACUCUCACGAGUCUAACCAUAUAAAAAUCUCUGAAAUCAUAGGUCAAAUGCCCACUCAAAAUCCAAUAGCUAGGGCUAAGAAGUUUUCCCCAAUUUUCAUUCGAAAUUAAAGGAUGAAUUCUUGAUUAGAUUAGUGAGUGUUAGUCAUAGGAGAGUAGAGAAUCAUUCCCGAGUGAUUGCCUUUGAAAAACCUUCGAAAUUGCACCCAAAUCCAAGCUUCCAACCUUGUGUUUUGGUAAAAAUGUCCAACUCUCGGAUUUUUGAGAUGUUUAUACUGCCCAAGUAUUUGUUCAAUGCAAUCCCAUGAAAUAGGAUGCGAUAACGUAGAGUAAAAAUUCAAAGGCCCAAAAAUUGGCCUAUGCGAACGCAGAGAAAGUCAUACGAUCGCAGAAGGGGAGGAAACAAGUAUAUGCAAUCGCAACCUGGGUCCUGCGAUCACAUAAAAGGAAUUGGGCCCUGAGACACCGACUCAGCUUAUUUAGUGCGAACACGAGAAAGGGGUUGCGAACGCGAAGAAGGGGGAGACGGUGUUAUGCGAACGCGAUCAGGUUCAUGCGAUCGCAUAGAAGGAAUUUGCCUCCUCCGCAAUUUGCACUACGCGAUUGCAUGGAUAGGAAUGUGAUUUCAGUGAAGGAAAGUUCUGCAACAGCACAACAGAGAAACCUGCAACUCUUUUUCAACAAAAACAAAUGCCCCGUUGAGCAUCCGAAAUACACCCGAGGCCCCCGGGACCUCAACCAAACCCACAGACAUAUCCCAUAACAUCAUUCAAACUUGUACCAACCCUUAAACCACCUAAAACAAAGCCAAAUACUCGAAUUAAUCAAUUAUUUGAACCUAGGAACUUCAAAUUUCAACCAAACUCGUUUUCGAUCAAAAAUCUAUUCAAAACACGUCCGAUAGACCUGUAAUUUUGCAGGCGCAUCCCAAAUGACAUGACGGUACUACAAAAACUAAUGAAAUUCUAUUCCGACCCUCAGAUAAAAAAUUCUCUAUCAGACCGGAAACUUGAAAAAUUCAAACUUCGACAUUUCAAGCCCAAAUGUGCUACGGGCUCCCAAAAUACACUCUGAACACGCCCCUAACCCCGAAAUCACCUAACGGAGUUAACGGAGCCAUCAGUUUUCCAUUCCGAAGUUGUCUUCACACCGUUCCAACUAUGGACCACUUUCCAACACUUAAGCACUCAUUUAGGGACUAAUGUCCCAAAACACUCCGAAUUCUAAUACCGAACGUCCUGGAAACCCAAAAUAGCAAAAAUGAACUUAAAGCGGUAAAUGAGGGAUCGUGGCAUAAAUUCCAAAAACGACCGGCCGGGUUGUUACAGUUAGCAAAAUUAUCUCUCUAUGUUAUGGUGAUUGUAUUCUAUUUCAACACAACUUCAGAGGGCAGCGAUGAAUAAGAUUUUUUUUAUCUUAAUUUUCGUUCUACUUAUUGUUAAUAUGAUUUGAUUUGCUGUAUGCACUUUGGAUUAACCUGUUUGCUAAAUAAAAAUUCAAUUGUUUAUUCUAAAAUUAAUUAUUCGGUUAACAUUUUGGCGUCCACUGUGAGUCCCUAUCCAUUGAGUGUUUGAUCUAAAGUCACACAACUGCUUUUUUAUUUUCUGUUAUUCUCAAGUGUUGAUUAUUUAUUCAAGGGAAACCCAUGUUUGGGAUCAACAACCAACCCAUGGAUGUAACCGUUCAACUAGUGGAACAAACUUGGAGAACACGGACUUCAAACGAUCAAUCAACUGGACCUUUAUUUCAUUCCAGGAAAAUCUCCAUUGCAAGAUCUACUAGUAGUGGGUCAUGAAUGAUGAGGGUUGGAGAAGACGGUGAAAGAAUUAAUCAUGUAGAAGCACUAGUUGAAUGCCCAAAUCGGAUCGGUAUUGAGGGCUCUGGCAAGUGGUGCAACAGUGGCAACACCAACCCCGCCUCUGAGGGUGCAUGCAUGUUGUCAUGGAGACUCACAACUUUAAAUUGAUAAAUAUGGAGCAGGGGGACUCACGAAUGAUACCGAGGUUAGGGUUCGGGCAUGUCCAAAAAUGCUGAGUAAUAUAAUUUAAUUCUUACCGUACAAUAACAUGUCAAGGAAUAGAACGAGAUGAUUGAACAGAUCUAUGGAGUUCGACUUAUUAUCAAGGGAAUAGAAAUAAAUAAACACUCUCAGCAGCCGUGGAAGCCGAGUGCAGCCUUACUCUCAAUUUCGAAGAAGUUCAAAAUGUCAGACAUCCUGAUCGAACCUGAGACUUUUGUGUCAUGUCAUGUAUUAUAUAACUGGAAUCAAAGGGAACGAUCUCACGAAGGAAGAAAUCGAGUCUGUACUCGUCAAGAAUUUCAUAGAAACCCUGACCAAAGGAGCUCUAACUUUGUACUCUCACUUACUAGAGAACUCGAUUAAUGUUUUUGCUGAACUUGCAUAUACUUUUAUCAAAGCAUAUUGCGAAACGCAAAAGGUAGAGAGACAAAUGAAGGACAUUUUUAAAACCCAACAAGGAGACAUAUAGUUGUUUCGAGGCUUUAAAGAUCAAUUCUCGAGAGAAAGGAUACUGCUCCUUACCGUGCCGUACAACUAGGCAUCCACGAUUCACAAGAAACCUGAAUGAAAAUAGUUAGGAAGCUAUGAAAACCUUCAUGAAUUUCCAGUCAAAAAUGGAAUGACGUGUAUCAUAGAUACAUCAGGAAGCUCAAAAUAGAAAAUUUUAUUUCAACACUCCUCGAAUUUGGAAAUAAGGAGACAAAGGGAAACGACCAUCGACUGGAAAUAAUCGGUGGGUGAGAAGAUCCCAGACAUCUAUACUCCAAAGUCUUGUACAAGCCCUAUUCUGGGCCCCUGCAUUGAGAAAAUAACUGGAGGGCACAUGCCAACUCAUGCCGCCAAAGGCCCUGGACAAAGAAAUAAUAUUGUACUAUAUCAAGCGAGCUGGGAAAUAAUCAGAAGCACCAAAAAUCAGUGGCUAUCACCACAUGCCAAGUUAGGCGACUAGAACUUCAAUGUCAAGAUGUCAGAAUUGGUAGCAGCAGUCAAAGAUAUAGAAAAUAAAGUGAGACAGCCAAAAGGAAUGAGGAUGGAUCCAAGAAAAUAUAGCCAAAAAUUCUGGUGCAAAUUCCGUAAUAAUCAUGGUCACAGGACCACCGACUGUUGAGUCCUUCAAAAUGAAGUAGACUGUGUUCUCAAACAAGGGUAUUUCACUGAACUCCUUAGCGAAAAGGAAAAACAAUGGUAUAUGAAGAACAGAGGUAUAGAAGAGCCACCACGAGUCCCGUCACGAAGAAGUGAUCUUGACAACCUUUUCAGAGGGGGUGGUCAAAGAAACCCCAUUCCACAUCGUAGUUGGAGACAUGUCUACAAUGCCAUCCUAGGAAGACCAUGCAUUCACAAAAUAGAUAUAGUCCUAUCAAUGAUACACAAAGUUAUUAAAUUUCCAUCAAAGUGGUAAAGAAAUCCGAGAGGAACGAAGAGCAUCCAGAGAGGUCAACUCAAUUGCAGCUGCAAGCAGUCUCCCCAAACACGAGCCGACCAAAUAUCAACCAAAGCAGCUUGAAUCCCAAAGCGUUAAGGCACCGCCUGCGAAAGUUAAGUCUAGUGAUUUUGAACUUGAGAUCAAAAUGUUUUUGAUAAGAUUUCUGAACCAGAAGAGACUGAUGCCCCAAAUUGAGUGUUGUGGAACUAGAAGUGGUCCUCUUUAUCGACUUCCCGGAAAGGAAGGUGUAUGUGGGGUUGGGACUUAACCCUGAGCUAAAAUACGAUUUAAUUAAACUUUUAUACGCUAAUGCAGAUUUUUUGCUUGGUCACAUGUAAACAUUAUAGGGAUUCACUUCGAAAGUAAUGACUCACAAGCUCAACAUAGAUCCCAAUUACCGACUAAUCAAGCGGAUAAAAUGGACGCAAGGUAGUACUGGAAUGAAGUCAUUAACAACAAAAUCUCCAUACUAUUGAAGAUCAAUUCAAUAAGAGAAUUCAAGUAUCUGGCAUGGUUGAAAAAUACCGUUGUCAUUUCAAAGAAGAACGGCAAAUGAAGAGUGUGUAUCGACUUCACUGAAAUAAAAAAGUAUAUCCUAAAGAUUCUUUUUUCUUUGCCCCAAUUGAUAAACUUAUAGACGCUACUGCUGGCCACAAACUACUGAGCUUUUUGGCCAUCUACUCCUAAUAUAACCAAAUUAGAAUGGACCUAGAAGAUCAAAAGAAAACGUCCUUCAUAAUUAAAAAGGGAUCUAUUAUUAUGACGUGAUACCAUUCGAUCUAAUGAUUAUGGGAGAAACAUAUUAGAGGCUGGUCAAUAUGAUAUCCAUAGUUUACAUUCGAAAGUCUAUGGAAGUUUAUAUCGACAACAUGUGUUGGCCCAAGAACAAGUGAAGUUUUGAAGAAUGACAACAGAACUCAGUCAUAGACCAGGUCCAUCAUGUAAAGCACGCUGUUUUAUCAGCCUAUACAUGUGAGAUGCACGUGAAGGAGAUAAGUCCUAUUGAUCAAGCAGCAAUAUCUCUUGAACUGACUUAAUAGGUUGCAUAUGGGAUAAGGAGAGAAAGUCUCCUUAUGUGAAGAGAACACAAUCUGAAUAAAAGAUAGUGUUGGAGUUUGUGUUGUUCAAGGACUCAACUUCGAUUAAAGAUCACCAAUCGAGUCUCGAUCAACCUGUAAUUACUUACUUAUUAAAUAACAGUAAUUGUUCUCUUUUAUAGGUAUUACACAUAUGUAGAAGUUAAACUAAAUUGAGAGCAAAAGAGCAAGGCGAUUUUGCAAGCAAUUUACGUGAGAUUUAAGUGUGCACGCCUGAAGCUACUUGAACGAGAUAGAAGAACCAGUUCAAUUGUGUUUUCCUUAUUCUAGUUCAAUUGUAGUAGGUGGUUUAAAGUUGUACCUUUCAGCUUUGCCACACCUCCUUUUUGCACACCUACCCCGAGGGAUAAAUGCAUAAGGGAGUUUUUUCAAUUUAAGUUACAAUAUUUGAAAUGGGAUUAUUUUAUUUAUUUAGAGUCGCCCUUGGGAAAGGUUUGGCUUUUGGUGUCCCAAGUCACGGGUUUAUCUUGAAUCCCAAUUCGAGGAAAAUAUUCGACUUUCCAAAUGAAGCCUGCGAACCAGAAUUUCUAAGUAAGGAAUUUUGUUGACCCGAGGGAAGGUGUUAGGCACCCCUGGAUCCCGUGGUUCUAGCACGGUCGUUUAAAUUGUUGUAAAUGGCUAAAUAUAUGAUUUUAAUACAUGUCAUAACUUAUGUGCUUUUAUUUAACAUUAAACCGCUUUUAUUAUUAUUUUUAAUAGAAUUGUAACGUCAUGAAAAUGAAUUUCGAACCACGUUGCAAUUAAUGCACCCGUCGUUGUUAAUAUAUUCCGACUCCGUUGAGAUUUGAAUUUGGGUCACAUAAAUGAGCGCCCGAGUUUAAGAAGGUAAAUUAUUAAAAGCGCGUCUAAAGUGACUAGCGCAUUAUUAUCUUUGAGAAGGGCCGUGAAAUUCACUAAAUGGCCCAUCCAAAAUUCUAAAUAUUUUAUUUCAAUUGUUGAGAGCGUCACAAUUUGUGUAUUAUUUGUUUAGUGAGGCUUGUCUCAUUUUAUUUUUAAAGGAAUAUUUAACUAAAGCAAACUAAGGAUGUUCAAGAUUAUUCUCCUAAGCUAGUGAUUAUUAGAAGGCCAUGGAUUAUGGAAUUAAAAUAUUUGGCUUUUCUUACAUGCUAUUUCGGACCAGAUAACAGAUAGCCUAAUUAAUUUGAAACAUUCCCCAUAGCCCCCGAAUCAUUCUGCCUCUCUAUUCUUUAUUACCAAAUUAUUCUUCAAGAAUUAAUAUGAAUCUAGGCACAUGGAAAGUUUUCAAACACUAAAAUUAUAUAGAAUAAAUUCAACACAUAAAAUAACAAAUUAGUCUAUCUAACAUGUUUCCAAACAAAUCAAGCAAAUAUAUGACGGAAAAGAAAAGGAGCAACUAGAAAUAAGAAUUAAAAAAAAACGUAAGAACAGUUGAUCAAUAAAGGAUAAGAAGAACUAACUUUUCAAAUUAUCAAAGACCUUUCUGCUUUGGAUUAACGACGAAAACUCAAUACGAGUACAUUGAAGAAGAGAAUACAUCCAUAUCUUGAAUUCUAACAAAACCAAUCGACCAAAGACCACGGAAACCUCAAACCGACGACCUCGAAUGGAAUAGCGAACAAAACCUUGGAGAUAAACAAUCGAUGGAGGACAGUCAGACCAGAACUCGACUCGACACCGGAAUGAUGACCUCAAACCAUUUUGAGCUUCGACGGAGCUGGACUGGUGUAGUUUUCCGGCGGAGUUUGACGUGAUGAAGCUUGUCGCGGAUGGGGUGGAGAAGCAGCAACGGCAGCGUGUGGAAGCAGGCUGGAAUAGUGGUUUCUCUGCUGCUGGUGGCGUCGUGGUGAGCUGAAGAAGAAAGCAGCAACAUUUGGUUGAGGAAAGGGGUCGUUGGGUUGAAGCUAGCAGGAGGUGGUCGCUGGACUGUUUGGUUCCGGUGAGCUGUUUUGGGCAGCGGGAGGUGGGUUCAGCUGGUUUCAGGCAGGGGGGAGAUAGGGACGACGAACUGGUGGACUCGCUAAGGUUCUUGCUGUUGUUUUGUUUUAGGGGUUUUUAGAGGUUCAUCAAGAAGAGGAAGAUGAAUAGUGAUAUGGGUCUUGUGUGUUGUCUGUCUCCAAAAAUCUGACGAAGAAGUGUGUGUAUUUUAAGAAGUUGAAGAAUGAGAAGGAAGGGGCAAGGUGAAACGUGGGUGAGUUGGGGAAAAGGGAUAAAGUGAGGGGAUAAGGAAAAGUGGGGGACAUGAGUGGGGAAUAAAGAGAAGAAGGGGUUAUGAGUGGA
This 7048-nucleotide long non-coding RNA is filed under the name Nicotiana benthamiana. Its description in RNAcentral is "long non-coding RNA (NBEN_LNC013112)". The record is from RNAcentral. Lineage: Eukaryota; Viridiplantae; Streptophyta; Magnoliopsida; Solanales; Solanaceae.